This 5940-nucleotide long non-coding RNA is filed under the name Podarcis lilfordi (Lilford's wall lizard). The record is from RNAcentral. Lineage: Eukaryota; Metazoa; Chordata; Lepidosauria; Squamata; Lacertidae.
AGCACUUGAGCUUCCCAUUCCUGGUUCCUAGGAAAUGGGGGUGAGCAAACUGCAGGUUCUUUAUCCCGUUUCUAAAAAGCAGAUGUCUUCCCCCAAAUGAUCCUGGGAAUUGUACUUUGUUAGGGGUUAUGGGGAUUGUAAGUCUGUGAGAAGGAAGCCACAAAGGCACGAAUCCUUUCGGGGGAAGUCAUAUGCUUUAAAGGUGCAUUGGAUGCUCUUUAAAACAUAGCACCAUAGAAUUGUAGAGUUGGAAGGGACCCCGAGGGUCCAACCCCCUACAAUGAAGGAAUCUCAACUAGAUGAUCCAUGGCUGAUGGCCAUCCAAGCCCUGCUUAAAAACAUCCAAGGAAGGAGAGUCACUGCUUCAGGCCCUAAGGGCCUCUGGAGCAGGUGAAAACAAACUUGUUCCAUCCUCCAUGUGACAGCCCUUUAGACUUUAGUUAUUGAAAGGGCUGCAUGGUGUGGAUUUCAUAUCAGUGUUAUUAGUGUGUAAGCAACACAUUUCUCUCUCCCUUAUCCCCACACCAUGCAGAAUUGCAAUGGUAACCAGAAGGCUGGAGUUUGGAGCCCAGCCAGGACUGGCUAUGGGCAGGAUUCUUGCAUUGCCGGGGGUUGGACUAGAUGACCCUUGGGAUCUCUUCCAACCCUGCCAUGCUAUAAUUAUAUCAAGCAGCUAAAGGAACAAAAAGAUGUUUCUGAAACAUUUAGGAAUCAUAGAACACUCUCCCCACCAGUGGCUUCCAGCAAGAGCUUGCAUCUUUCUUAGGAGAGAGGCAGUCCAGAACAAGGUGGGAAAGGCUCAGAGUUCAGGUAGGUGGAAAUGCCAAUUGAGUGCCGUAUACUAUAGGAAUGCUUCCUUCCUGUGUCCCCCACCCUCAUGCGCCAUACUGGUGCUAGUAUGGCUGGGAGCCAGGCACUGCUGAUUCCUCCAUUUUCUUUGCAGGGAGGGAGCCUUUCCCCAACAUAUACUUUGUUCUGGCCAAAUCCCUGGAGAGACGUGAUGACCCUCAGGUACUGGGGCAGAGGGAAGGAAGGGAUCCUUGUGGGACACAUUUGGGGAGUCUGUGGCUUCCAGCAAGUGCUUUUCAGAAGCAUUGCUCUCUCCAACAGGUGAGGCUGAACAUAACCAUCACGACUAGUUGCCUUUGAUAGGCCUCUCCUCCAUGCAAUUGUCUAGCCUUUGAAAGCCAUCCCAUCCAAGAUGUUCUUGUGGUGCAUCUGAUUCUCCUAUGCUUCCUUGCUCCUGCAAGGAGAUGACUAUUAUGAGAUCCUUGGGUUAACAUCUGUCUGGGCUGGAAAAUAUUAAAGAAUCAGAGGUCUGGUGAGCUUCCCUUGAAGCACAACUGAUCAAAGGCAGGCAGAUCUGUUAGCAUCUUGAUAAAGAUGCUCAAACGACAAAGGAUGCUAUCAUACCCCGCAAGUGUCUCAGAAAAAGCUCCCAAGCUGAUGGAGAAGAGAGCAGUUAAGUGCUCAGUGGGGCUCCAGGUUGCCGUUUCUGGAUCCCACCACAGCCCUUCCAAGUUGCCAAAGAAAUCAAUGUCACAACAGUUUUUUCCUCGCACCUCCUCCCCAUGAUCCCAUGUGGGGUCUUCUCAGACAUAUGCUGUGUCUGAACCAGCAGAUCCCACCAAACCAAGUAAUCGAGGACCCAGUCAGAGAAGGAGUCUGCACAGUCAUACCAGAAAUAAGCAAAACAACUAAACAGGUACUAGACGUUACCCCAGAACUGGCCCUACUGAACAUCUUUCAUGAUAACAAUGCCCACUCACACCAUAAAGAGCUCAUAACCCACUGACAGCAUAUGAUUCAAUAUGGCUAACUUAAUCCGACAACCUCCUCACCCACGCACAAGCAAAUCCCACUGCAGCCAGCCAAAGAUGAUCAACCACAUAUAACAAGCGAAUAGAAAGAGAACUUCCCCAAGUGACGCUGACAGAAAACCCCCAAGCAUACAGUAAAUAUAAGAACUUCAGCUUUGCCACCCCAUUUCAUCUCUCCCGCCUCCACCCCCCUUCCAGGGCCAGAUUUAGAUGAAGAGAGGCCUUAGACUACUCUACUUGUGAGACCCUUUGCAGUCCCCCACCCUCACACCUACAAGAAAAUGGAAGAGUGUUAUAAACAAAAUUAAAGCCAAGGAUGAUGAUGGGUAUUUACAGUUUUGCAAUUCACAAUUUCUCCUCUAAAGGACAUCAGAAAACUUCAUCAAAAUUUGUUUGUCUAAGUUUGUCACUUUCAAUGUACAGAAUACUCAGUGUGGACAAUCUCUUUUGAGACAUCGAGGCCCUUAAUUCAUUUUCAAUUCUUUUGAGUCUUGAAAAACGCCUCCCUCCCGAGCAGUUAGUGACCAUAUAGCUAAGAAAUAUCUGCAUCUGAAUUUUUUCCUUGUAUAUAAUUUGAUAAAGGUCUGUAUGAGACAGAGAGUGCUCUGCUGUAAGCCUAUGGCUUUGUCUCACAGGUGAAAGUGCAGAAGUUCAUCAAUAAGUUUCAGGUCAAUAUCUUCUGGGUAUGCUUUCAUCAACAGUUCAACACCUUGCUGAAUUUCUUGCUUAGAUGCUAUCAGAAUAGCAAGAACGGAAAAACAAUUGUGCAACAUCACUGUAUACAGUACUUCUUUUAAACUUGGCUUCAAGUGCAUCUAAUAUAGGAAUAAAGGAUUUUAUCCUAAACUUAUCUCUUGACGAAAGUGCAUCUUAAGGCAUCAGGUGCACUUCUGUCAUUUCUUUGCUGUCCCCUCACUCUUUGUCUCCUUCUUUUGUAGUUAACAUUUGGCAAGGUGGCUUUUGUUUGUUUCUCAAGCUCAUCAAAAUCUUCUCUUUAAAAAAUCCAAAAGUGAACUGUACAAACUUGCACAAGAACUCAAUAACAGGUCUGAUUUCUGAAGGGCUUUGCUGACCUUGUGAAAAUGACCUAGCACAUCGAUUUAUAUCUCUAAGAUUCUGCAGAUUUUGGCUGUGAACUAGGGCCCCACAAAUAUUUUUCAAGUUGGUCCCUAGAGUUUCAAACUGGGACCCACUGGCUGGCCCGGAGUCUCAUAGUUGCUGGGCCUGAGUUACCCUGCCCUCGCAUGAAGUCUUGGGUUUACAAUUUUGGGAGAGGGGAGACUGCCCGCUGGGGGGGCGGGCAGGCUGGGGAGCCCUUCUAGAUUUAGAGGCCCUAGGUUUCAGCCUACUUGGCCUAUACAUAAAUCCAGCACUGCUUCUGUAACCUGAUGGUGCAUCCUGGAACUUAAAAAUCUAUGACCCAUGGUGUGUUGGAAGAUCAGUAGUAAUGCGGGAAAGCUAUAUUUCAAGAAUUUUGUCUUCUGCUAAUGUUCUAAUUGACAUCCUCUUAAUAAGCUUCUGAGGAGUAUCACGGGCCACUAGAACACAGUUUGCAAUUCACUGCUCUUGUCUUGAAAUCUGUGUUGUCCCUACCAUCCCAAGAGGCUAUCUCAGCAACCAGUUAAUCUAGUUAAUUAGAUUCUCGAGUUUUCAUUUUCAGUUCAUUUAUUUAUUUAAUAUUUUUAUGUCUCACCUUUUAGGGCAAAAAUGCCCCUAAGGUAGUUUUCAAACAUUUAAAACUAAUGAAAAUAUUUUGAUAGGUAGACAGACAAAGCCAUAUGUAUUUUAGGGAGAGACUUCACUUUCUCUGAUAUCUCCUAAUCUAAUUAACUUUCAUUGCAGGCCAGAGAGCAGGCCAUGCAGAUUCAUAUGAGUGUAGGUAGUCUAAAUACAAUUCUCCUUUAAUUUCACAGGAUAUGGAAGCGAAUGGGCCAUUUUCUUUAAAAUGUGCCCAGGUCUUAUGGUGACUGUCUAGGUCCUAGUGUUCUUCUCAAGUAUAACUGUUCCAGACAUAAUCCUGGCUUGACUAUAGCUUGCUGCUGCGGAUAUAGCUAAGUGUUCAACAAACUCAUUUACAAGCAAUUUUACUAUUUAGGUGAAUUUGCACAUGAUGUUUUGGUUAGUUUUCUUUGGAACUCUUAAGGGAAAUCAUUAGUACAUAUCUUCUAUAGCCUUUCUCAAAGGGUACAUUAGUGCUCAUCCACACUUCCUUCUGCACCAUGCUUUGCAUGGAAAACCUGUUUGCUGUUUGCUCCAGUUCAGCAGUAAAAUACAGGUUUUCUCAGGGAAUGCACUGGGACAAAAAAUUCCAUCCUGCUGUGACACAGAACUUUAAAGCCCAGGCCUGUGCCUAGAAAUGUGGCACAAAAGGGAGGCUGGAUGAGCCCUUAGUAUAGCCUUUUUUGAAUUAGCUUUUUUGAGGGUGGUAGAAACAACAACAAUAAUAAUAAUGGCAGUUAAAGAACAUCUUUGCCUUUUCAGCAACAGCCCUUUCAGCCUUUGCUAGGUAUCAGUAUUACAUAGAGUCUAUCAUGGAAGUGAGCCUGCUUAGAAAAGAUUUUAUUUUUAAUAGUGAAAAUGAAAGAGUGCAGGGGAAGAUGUGAAAUGCUUUUUAAAGCUGUUUUAAUGACAGUUUUAUUUUAUUUUUUUAAAGUAGGCUGACAAAAAGGAACAAACUGAAGCAUUUUUGAUAACCUAGUGUCUUGUUUCUUUCCAGAUGCCUUUCUCUCUCCAAACAAUUCAGCAUCAGAUUCUUCCAGCUACAAGCUGCCAAGUUAAAAGCAAUAACAGACUGUAGGCUCCUGGAAAAGGCUGAUGUUUGUAAUGUGUUUAUAGUUAGUGAACAUUAAAAUUUUCCUACCACACUGUGGGUGCAAACCCACCUUCUAUCCAAGUCACUGGCAAAAAUCCCACUGAUUGUAAUUGAUCUGAAGGUUUUGAAGAUAGGGUUGCAUGUUGAAUUGUGCUGCGUCCAAGCGGUUUGUCAUAAUGUAUGCUGUUGUGGGGAGAUUAAAGACUGCAUCAGCUUGCAUGAAUUCUGUGGUGAAGGAUGGUUAUGUCUGAAAUCAUUUCCCCUCCUUUCUCUUUUACUAUUAAGUGAACAACACGACUGGAGUUAAUACUUCUGUUUAACUCUGCAUGUUGCUGCCUAAUACUACUUAUUCAAGGAGAAGAGGACAUGUGCCCAUUUAAUCCUUAAGAUACCAGAAAUAAUUUUAGGUUUAUCGGCUAGUGUUGUAGUGUUUUGCAGUGAUUUAGCUGUUCACAGGAUCAGGUGUACCCUAGUGAUGAGGCAUGAUCCCAGUUGUUUAUUGGCAAGGAUUUGCAAGUAAAACAUGGUGUGUGUCUGUGUGGUUUAUCGAGUACAAUUGCUCAAAGAAUAUUCUUUUAAAGGAACAUCUAGAAAACCUGAUUUCACACCCACAACUUUUACUGGAUUUGUCAUGGAUGCUGGCCUCCUGAGGCACAGUACUCCUCCAUAACCAUAAGAUCCAUGGUUGUGGUACCUACAGGAAGGACUGUAGCCCAGUAGUAGAGCAUAUGCAGCCUCCCAGAGAGGCUUUACUGUAGCCAGUUUUUAUCAGGCAGAGAAAACAGGGUUGAGGAAGGGAGAAUUUGAGGUUCAGGAACUGCCAGAUCCAGGACACUGUUGGAGCAGAAGGGUGUUUCUCCCCUUAUCUUUUCGCUGUAUGUGGCCUUUAAAAAAUGUUUCAGUGUAAUAGAAAAUAAGUAUCCCAUCCCAGAUUGGCAUACUACCCACAUUCCAGAAUGUGUUGAAAUGACAUCUGAUCAAGAUGCAGCGGCAGAAUCCCACCUUUUUUGCCUUUUCUUCUAAGGAGGUAUUGAUGGUGAACCUUUCUGUGGCGGUUGGGAGAAGGUUUCCAAGGGCAGGAUUCCCCCUCAUAGGUAGAGAAGUUAAUUUUACUAGUUCUGCUAUUAUGCAAUUUUGAAGAAUGUUCUACUGUUUUAAUAUUUUGGUUUUGAUGCACAGUUGUUUUAAUUGAUUGUUUUAAUUGUUCUGUGCUCCAGAACCCUUUGGGGUUAACAAGUAUGAGCUACAAACAAAACAUCUCAAAUAAGAAGAAAUUUUAAAAAUUGCAUUGUUGAAAAAUAUGCACAU